This 484-nucleotide ribosomal RNA is filed under the name uncultured bacterium. Its description in RNAcentral is "partial 16S ribosomal RNA". It matches the Rfam family "Bacterial small subunit ribosomal RNA", at positions 30 to 507 of the family's 1533-position model. The record is from RNAcentral.
AUUGAACGCUGGCGGCAGGCCUAACACAUGCAAGUCGAGCGGAUGAAGGGAGCUUGCUCCUGGAUUCAGCGGCGGACGGGUGAGUAAUGCCUAGGAAUCUGCCUGGUAGUGGGGGAUAACGUCCGGAAACGGGCGCUAAUACCGCAUACGUCCUGAGGGAGAAAGAGGGGGAUCUUCGGACCUCACGCUAUCAGAUGAGCCUAGGUCGGAUUAGCUAGUUGGUGGGGUAAAGGCCUACCAAGGCGACGAUCCGUAACUGGUCUGAGAGGAUGAUCAGUCACACUAGAACUGAGACACGGUCCAGACUCCUACGGGAGGCAGCAGUGGGGAAUAUUGGACAACGGGCGAAAGCCUGAUCCAGCCAUGCCGCGUGUGUGAAGAAGGUCUUCGGAUUGUAAAGCACUUUAAGUUGGGAGGAAGGGCAGUAAGUUAAUACCUUGCUGUUUUGACGUUACCAACAGAAUAAGCACCGGCUAACUUCGUG